This 1507-nucleotide ribosomal RNA is filed under the name uncultured bacterium. RNAcentral's name for it is "bacterial SSU rRNA". It matches the Rfam family "Bacterial small subunit ribosomal RNA". The record is from RNAcentral.
UAGAGUUUGAUCAUGGCUCAGGAUGAACGCUAGCGACAGGCUUAACACAUGCAAGUCGAGGGGCAGCGGGAGGGAAGCUUGCUUUCCUUGCUGGCGACCGGCGCACGGGUGAGUAACACGUAUGCAACCUGCCCUCUUCAGGGGGACAACCUUCCGAAAGGGAGGCUAAUCCCGCGUAUAUCGGUUUCGGGCAUCCGAGAUCGAGGAAAGAUUCAUCGGAAGAGGAUGGGCAUGCGGCGCAUUAGCUUGACGGCGGGGUAACGGCCCACCGUGGCGACGAUGCGUAGGGGUUCUGAGAGGAAGGUCCCCCACACUGGUACUGAGACACGGACCAGACUCCUACGGGAGGCAGCAGUGAGGAAUAUUGGUCAAUGGGCGAGAGCCUGAACCAGCCAAGUCGCGUGAGGGAGUACUGCCCUAUGGGUUGUAAACCUCUUUUGUCGGGGAGCAAAAGCCGGACGUGUCCGUCUGUGAGAGUACCCGAAGAAAAAGCAUCGGCUAACUCCGUGCCAGCAGCCGCGGUAAUACGGAGGAUGCGAGCGUUAUCCGGAUUUAUUGGGUUUAAAGGGUGCGCAGGCGGAUUUUUAAGUCAGCGGUCAAAUCGUGGGGCUCAACCCCGUCGAGCCGUUGAAACUGGCAGACUUGAGUUGGCGAGAAGUACGCGGAAUGCGCGGUGUAGCGGUGAAAUGCAUAGAUAUCGCGCAGAACUCCGAUUGCGAAGGCAGCGUACCGGCGCCAGACUGACGCUGAGGCACGAAAGCGUGGGGAUCGAACAGGAUUAGAUACCCUGGUAGUCCACGCCGUAAACGAUGAUUACUAGGUGUCGGUGGGUAUGGACCCAUCGGUGCCGCAGCAAACGCAGUAAGUAAUCCACCUGGGGAGUACGUUCGCAAGAAUGAAACUCAAAGGAAUUGACGGGGACCCGCACAAGCGGUGGAGCAUGUGGUUUAAUCCGAAGCAACGCGAAGAACCUUACCAAGUCUUGACAUCCUCUUGAAUAAAGGGUAAUGCCUUUAGGCCUUCGGGACAAGAGAGACAGGUGGUGCAUGGUUGUCGUCAGCUCGUGUCGUGAGAUGUUGGGUUAAGUCCCGCAACGAGCGCAACCCUUAUCUUCAGUAGCCAGCAGGUAAAGCUGGGCACUCUGGAGAGACUGCCGGGGAUAACCCGGAGGAAGGUGGGGAUGACGUCAAAUCAUCAUGCCCCUUAUGAUUUGGGCUACACACGUGCUACAAUGGCGUAAACAGAGGGAAGCGAGCCCGCGAGGGGGAGCAAAUCCCAAAAAUAACGUCCCAGUUCGGAUUGUAGUCUGCAACCCGACUACAUGAAGCUGGAAUCGCUAGUAAUCGCGGAUCAGAAUGCCGCGGUGAAUACGUUCCCGGGUCUUGUACACACCGCCCGUCACACCAUGGGAGUCGGAAAUGCCCGAAGUCUGUGACCCAACCGCAAGGAGGGAGCAGCCGAAGGCAGGUCGGAUGACUGGGGUGAAGUCGUAACAAGGUAACCGUAA